UAAUAGUGUAUAUUAAAGUUGUUGCAGUUAAAAAGCUCGUAGUUGAAUGUUGGUGUCGAACGAGCGGUCAGCUUCGGCUGUACUGCUCUCUCGACUCCUUCCUUCUGUGGACUACGUCGCACUUUACUGUGUGGCGCUAGGACGCAGAUCGUUUACUGUGAAAAAAUUAGAGUGUUCAAAGCAGGCCGUACGCUUGAAUACAUUAGCAUGGAAUAAUGGAAUAGGACGUCGGGCCUAUUUUGUUGGUUCUAGGACCGUCGUAAUGAUUAAUAGGGACAGUUGGGGCCGUUUAUAUUCCGUAGUCAGAGGUGAAAUUCUUGGAUUUACGGAAGAUAAACUACUGCGAAAGCAUUCGGCAAGGAUGUUUUCAUUA
Molecule: ribosomal RNA, 373 nt
Filed under: uncultured eukaryote
Lineage: Eukaryota
Description: partial 18S ribosomal RNA
Rfam family: Eukaryotic small subunit ribosomal RNA
Source: RNAcentral